CCUACGGGUGGCAGCAGUGAGGAAUAUUGGUCAAUGGGCGCGAGCCUGAACCAGCCAAGUCGCGUGAGGGAUGAAGGUUCUAUGGAUCGUAAACCUCUUUUAUAAGGGAAUAAAGUGCAGUAUGUAUACUGCUUUGCAUGUACCUUAUGAAUAAGGAUCGGCUAACUCCGUGCCAGCAGCCGCGGUAAUACGGAGGAUCCGAGCGUUAUCCGGAUUUGUUGGGUUUAAAGGGAGCGUAGGCGGGUUGUUAAGUCAGUUGUGAAAGUUUGCGGCUCAACCGUAAAAUUGCAGUUGAUACUGGCAUCCAUGAGUACAGUAGAGGUAGGCGGAAUUCGUGGUGUAGCGGUGAAAUGCUUAGAUAUCACGAAGAACUCCGAUUGCGAAGGCAGCCUGCUGGACUGUAACUGACGCUGAUGCUCGAAAGUGUGGGUAUCAAACAGGAUUAGAUACCGUGUAGUC
Molecule: ribosomal RNA, 459 nt
Filed under: uncultured bacterium
Lineage: Bacteria
Description: partial 16S ribosomal RNA
Rfam family: Bacterial small subunit ribosomal RNA
Source: RNAcentral